RNAcentral lists this ribosomal RNA (263 nucleotides) under uncultured Staphylococcus sp. RNAcentral's name for it is "partial 16S ribosomal RNA". It matches the Rfam family "Bacterial small subunit ribosomal RNA", at positions 99 to 354 of the family's 1533-position model. Lineage: Bacteria; Bacillati; Bacillota; Bacilli; Caryophanales; Staphylococcaceae. The record is from RNAcentral.
CGGACAGGUGAGUAACACGUGGAUAACCUACCUAUAAGACUGGGAUAACUUCGGGAAACCGGAGCUAAUACCGGAUAAUAUAUUGAACCGCAUGGUUCAAUAGUGAAAGACGGUUUUGCUGUCACUUAUAGAUGGAUCCGCGCCGCAUUAGCUAGUUGGUAAGGUAACGGCUUACCAAGGCAACGAUGCGUAGCCGACCUGAGAGGGUGAUCGGCCACACUGGAACUGAGACACGGUCCAGACUCCUACGGGAGGCAGCAGAG